Molecule: long non-coding RNA, 560 nt
Filed under: Homo sapiens (human)
Lineage: Eukaryota; Metazoa; Chordata; Mammalia; Primates; Hominidae
Description: uncharacterized LOC105376384, transcript variant 2 (LOC105376384)
Source: RNAcentral
AGGAAAGACAGAGCAUGGCUGCUGGGCAGCCAGGUCAACCGGACGGCAAGGCAGGGGUUGGCCGGGGAAGCACUGCGCCGCCCCUGCAUGCCCUGCAUCCUCGGGUCCUGGGAGGGCUGCUCAGUAACUGGAAGGAAAAUGAAACUGAAAAAGAGCAAGGGUCCCGUAGGAUUGAACACAGUUGGUGAAACUUGGGCCGUCUGCCUCAAGUCCCCGCUUGGCAAAACCACUCCCUCCUGGUGGACGCCCUCACCAUGAAGGUGGCUGGCCAAGAGAAGCCUGCCCGGCGACGCUGAGGCACCGAACAUGAGCAGGGGAGGAAGGAAUGCCUGGGAGCAGCUGAGCCGAGCCCCUGCCACCAGCCUCCUCCGCACGCCCGUGGAAUCAGCACUUUCUGCUUCCCGCCCCUGAGAGCCUUGCUCUGGGGCCACUCACAGCCAAUUAAGUGGGGAUGUUGUAAGAGACUCUAAAAUACGUGGAGCUGGCUGAGGACGCGGGACCGACCCCAUUAUGUGUGUGUGAGGCUGAUUAAAGUGUUACCUGUCACCAGGUGUCGCCAA